This 215-nucleotide long non-coding RNA is filed under the name Ananas comosus (pineapple). RNAcentral describes it as "long non-coding RNA (ACOM_LNC044502)". Lineage: Eukaryota; Viridiplantae; Streptophyta; Magnoliopsida; Poales; Bromeliaceae. The record is from RNAcentral.
GGAAAAAAGGAAAGAAAGAAUUUUCUAAUUUUUCUUUUUAAGAAAAAUAGAUAGAAUGCUAUCUGUUUCGUUUAUUUAGUUUAAAAAUAAAUGUAGUUAAAAAUGUGAAGCAAAUAGGUUUCGAACUUGAAAUCUCAAAUAUUAAUCACCAAAUUUUUUACCACAUGUGCUAGGGACGAUCAAUAUGAUUGUAGGAUUGUUAAUCUAAAAUUUAG